AGAGUUUGAUCAUGGCUCAGAUUGAACGCUGGCGGAAUGCUUUACACAUGCAAGUCGAACGGUAGAGGGGGCAACCCCUUGAGAGUGGCGAACGGGUGAGUAAUGUAUCGGAACGUGCCCAGUCGUGGGGGAUAACGUAGUGAAAAUUACGCUAAUACCGCAUACGAUCUAUGGAUGAAAGCGGGGGAUCGCAAGACCUCGCGCGAUUGGAGCGGCCGAUAUCAGAUUAGGUAGUUGGUGAGGUAAAGGCUCACCAAGCCAACGAUCUGUAGCUGGUCUGAGAGGACGACCAGCCACACUGGAACUGAGACACGGUCCAGACUCCUACGGGAGGCAGCAGUGGGGAAUUUUGGACAAUGGACGCAAGUCUGAUCCAGCCAUUCCGCGUGCAGGACGAAGGCCUUCGGGUUGUAAACUGCUUUUGUACGGAACGAAAAAGCUCUUAUUAAUACUAGGAGUCCAUGACGGUACCGUAAGAAUAAGCACCGGCUAACUACGUGCCAGCAGCCGCGGUAAUACGUAGGGUGCAAGCGUUAAUCGGAAUUACUGGGCGUAAAGCGUGCGCAGGCGGUUAUAUAAGACAGAUGUGAAAUCCCCGAGCUUAACUUGGGAACUGCAUUUGUGACUGUAUAGCUAGAGUACGGCAGAGGGGGAUGGAAUUCCGCGUGUAGCAGUGAAAUGCGUAGAUAUGCGGAGGAACACCGAUGGCGAANGCAAUCCCCUGGGCCCUGUACUGACGCUCAUGCACGAAAGCGUGGGGAGCAAACAGGAUUAGAUACCCUGG
Molecule: ribosomal RNA, 784 nt
Filed under: uncultured bacterium
Lineage: Bacteria
Description: bacterial SSU rRNA
Rfam family: Bacterial small subunit ribosomal RNA
Source: RNAcentral